GAUGAACGCUGGCGGCGUGCCUAAUACAUGCAAGUCGAGCGAACGGACGAGAAGCUUGCUUUUCUGAUGUUAGCGGCGGACGGGUGAGUAACACGUGGAUAACCUACCUAUAAGACUGGGAUAACUUCGGGAAACCGGAGCUAAUACCGGAUAAUAUUUUGAACCGCAUGGUUCAAAAGUGAAAGACGGUCUUGCUGUCACUUAUAGAUGGAUCCGCGCUGCAUUAGCUAGUUGGUAAGGUAACGGCUUACCAAGGCAACGAUGCAUAGCCGACCUGAGAGGGUGAUCGGCCACACUGGAACUGAGACACGGUCCAGACUCCUACGGGAGGCAGCAGUAGGGAAUCUUCCGCAAUGGGCGAAAGCCUGACGGAGCAACGCCGCGUGAGUGAUGAAGGUCUUCGGAUCGUAAAACUCUGUUAUUAGGGAAGAACAUAUGUGUAAGUAACUGUGCACAUCUUGACGGUACCUAAUCAGAAAGCCACGGCUAACUACGUGCCAGCAGCCGCGGUAAUACGUAGGUGGCAAGCGUUAUCCGGAAUUAUUGGGCGUAAAGCGCGCGUAGGCGGUUUUUUAAGUCUGAUGUGAAAGCCCACGGCUCAACCGUGGAGGGUCAUUGGAAACUGGAAAACUUGAGUGCAGAAGAGGAAAGUGGAAUUCCAUGUGUAGCGGUGAAAUGCGCAGAGAUGUGGAGGAACACCAGUGGCGAAGGCGACUUUCUGGUCUGUAACUGACGCUGAUGUGCGAAAGCGUGGGGAUCAAACAGGAUUAGAUACCCUGGUAGUCCACGCCGUAAACGAUGAGUGCUAAGUGUUAGGGGGUUUCCGCCCCUUAGUGCUGCAGCUAACGCAUUAAGCACUCCGCCUGGGGGGUACGACCGCAAGGUUGAAACUCAAAGGAAUUGACGGGGGCCCGCACAAGCGGUGGAGCAUGUGGUUUAAUUCGAAGCAACGCGAAGAACCUUACCAAAUCUUGACAUCCUUUGACAACUCUAGAGAUAGAGCCUUCCCCUUCGGGGGACAAAGUGACAGGUGGUGCAUGGUUGUCGUCAGCUCGUGUCGUGAGAUGUUGGGUUAAGUCCCGCAACGAGCGCAACCCUUAAGCUUAGUUGCCAUCAUUAAGUUGGGCACUCUAAGUUGACUGCCGGUGACAAACCGGAGGAAGGUGGGGAUGACGUCAAAUCAUCAUGCCCCUUAUGAUUUGGGCUACACACGUGCUACAAUGGACAAUACAAAGGGCAGCGAAACCGCGAGGUCAAGCAAAUCCCAUAAAGUUGUUCUCAGUUCGGAUUGUAGUCUGCAACUCGACUACAUGAAGCUGGAAUCGCUAGUAAUCGUAGAUCAGCAUGCUACGGUGAAUACGUUCCCGGGUCU
Molecule: ribosomal RNA, 1372 nt
Filed under: uncultured bacterium
Lineage: Bacteria
Description: bacterial SSU rRNA
Rfam family: Bacterial small subunit ribosomal RNA
Source: RNAcentral